GGGCGGUUUGACUGGGGCGGUCGCCUCCUAAAGAGUAACGGAGGCGCGCGAAGGUUACCUUGCACUGGUUGGAAAUCAGUGUGUACGUGCAAAGGCAGAAGGUAGCUUGACUGCGAGAGAUACAACUCGAGCAGGUGCGAAAGCAGGUCUUAGUGAUCUGGCGGUGGCGAGUGGAAGCGCCGUCACUUAACGGACAAAAGGUACUCCGGGGAUAACAGGCUGAUCCUGCCCAAGAGUUCACAUCGACGGCAGGGUUUGGCACCUCGAUGUCGGCUCAUCGCAUCCUGGGGCUGGAGCAGGUCCCAAGGGUUUGGCUGUUCGCCAAUUAAAGCGGUACGUGAGCUGGGUUCAGAACGUCGCGAGACAGUUCGGUCCCUAUCUGCCACAGGCGUUGGAUGGUUGAGAGGAUCUGCCCUUAGUACGAGAGGACCGGGGUGGACGUACCUCUGGUGUACCAGUUAUCGUGCCAACGGUAAGUGCUGGGUAGCUAUGUACGGACGGGAUAACCGCUGAAGGCAUCUAAGUGGGAAGCCCCCCUCAAGAUGAGCCAUCCCCUCACCUUUAAGGUGACUGAAGGAACCAGACAGAUUAUCUGGUCGAUAGGCUGGCGGUCUAAGUGCGGUAACGCAUUGAGCCGACCAGUACUAAUCUUCCGUGAGGCUUGACCGUAU
This 671-nucleotide ribosomal RNA is filed under the name Spirochaetaceae bacterium. RNAcentral describes it as "partial 23S ribosomal RNA". It matches the Rfam family "Bacterial large subunit ribosomal RNA", at positions 2263 to 2925 of the family's 2925-position model. Lineage: Bacteria; Pseudomonadati; Spirochaetota; Spirochaetia; Spirochaetales; Spirochaetaceae. The record is from RNAcentral.